Molecule: ribosomal RNA, 492 nt
Filed under: uncultured bacterium
Lineage: Bacteria
Description: partial 16S ribosomal RNA
Rfam family: Bacterial small subunit ribosomal RNA
Source: RNAcentral
AGUGAACGCUGGCGGUAGGCCUAACACAUGCAAGUCGAACGGCAGCACAGUAAGAGCUUGCUCUUACGGGUGGCGAGUGGCGGACGGGUGAGGAAUACAUCGGAAUCUACUUUUUCGUGGGGGAUAACGUAGGGAAACUUACGCUAAUACCGCAUACGACCUACGGGUGAAAGCAGGGGAUCUUCGGACCUUGCGCGAUUGUAUGAGCCGAUGUCGGAUUAGCUAGUUGGCGGGGUAAAGGCCCACCAAGGCGACGAUCCGUAGCUGGUCUGAGAGGAUGAUCAGCCACACUGGAACUGAGACACGGUCCAGACUCCUACGGGAGGCAGCAGUGGGGAAUAUUGGACAAUGGGCGCAAGCCUGAUCCAGCCAUACCGCGUGGGUGAAGAAGGCCUUCGAGUUGUAAAGCCCUUUUGUUGGGAAAGAAAAGCAGCAGGUUAAUACCCCGCUGUUCUGACGGUACCCAAAGAAUAAGCACCGGCUAACUUCGUG